RNAcentral lists this ribosomal RNA (72 nucleotides) under uncultured bacterium. Its description in RNAcentral is "partial 16S ribosomal RNA". The record is from RNAcentral.
CUGCUGCCUCCCGUAGGAGUUUGGGCCGUGUCUCAGUCCCAAUGUGGCCGUCACCCUCUCAGGCCGGCUACC